AUUGAACGCUGGCGGCAGGCCUAACACAUGCAAGUCGGACGGUAGCACAGGGGAGCUUGCUCCUCGGGUGACGAGUGGCGGACGGGUGAGUAAUGUCUGGGGAUCUGCCCGAUAGAGGGGGAUAACCACUGGAAACGGUGGCUAAUACCGCAUAAUGUCGCAAGACCAAAGAGGGGGACCUUCGGGCCUCUCACUAUCGGAUGAACCCAGAUGGGAUUAGCUAGUAGGCGGGGUAACGGCCCACCUAGGCGACGAUCCCUAGCUGGUCUGAGAGGAUGACGAGCCACACUGGAACUGGGACACGGUCCAGACUCCUACGGGAGGCAGCAGUGGGGAAUAUUGCACAAUGGGCGCAAUCCUGAUGCAGCCAUGCCGCGUGUAUGAAGAAGGCCUUCGGGUUGUAAAGUACUUUCAGCGGGGAGGAAGGCGAUGUGGUUAAUAACCGCGUCGAUUGACGUUACCCGCAGAAGAAGCACCGGCUAACUCCGUGCCAGCCGCCGCAGUAA
This 506-nucleotide ribosomal RNA is filed under the name uncultured bacterium. RNAcentral describes it as "partial 16S ribosomal RNA". It matches the Rfam family "Bacterial small subunit ribosomal RNA", at positions 29 to 523 of the family's 1533-position model. The record is from RNAcentral.